GCCCUUAGAGUUUGUUUCCGGCUCAAGAUGAACGCUGGCGGCGUGCUUAACACAUGCAAGUCGAACGGACUCAUAUUGAAACCUAGUGAUGUAUGAGUUAGUGGCGGACGGGUGAGUAACGCGUGGAGAACCUGCCGUAUACUGGGGGAUAACACUUAGAAAUAGGUGCUAAUACCGCAUAAGCGCACGGCUUCGCAUGAAGCAGUGUGAAAAACUCCGGUGGUAUACGAUGGAUCCGCGUCUGAUUAGCUGGUUGGCGGGGUAAAGGCCCACCAAGGCGACGAUCAGUAGCCGGCCUGAGAGGGUGAACGGCCACAUUGGGACUGAGACACGGCCCAUACUCCUACGGGAGGCAGCAGUGGGGAAUAUUGCACAAUGGGGGAAACCCUGAUGCUGCGACGCCGCGUGAGUGAAGAAGUAUUUCGGUAUGUAAAGCUCUAUCAGCAAGGAAUAAAAUGACAGUACCUG
This 468-nucleotide ribosomal RNA is filed under the name uncultured bacterium. Its description in RNAcentral is "bacterial SSU rRNA". It matches the Rfam family "Bacterial small subunit ribosomal RNA", at positions 1 to 463 of the family's 1533-position model. The record is from RNAcentral.